CCUACGGGAGGCAGCAGUGAGGAAUAUUGGUCAAUGGACGAGAGUCUGAACCAGCCAAGUAGCGUGAAGGAUGACUGCCCUAUGGGUUGUAAACUUCUUUUAUAUGGGAAUAAAACAGGGUAUGCAUACCCUCUUGUAUGUACCAUAUGAAUAAGGAUCGGCUAACUCCGUGCCAGCAGCCGCGGUAAUACGGAGGAUCUGAGCGUUAUCCGGAUUUAUUGGGUUUAAAGGGAGCGUAGGUGAAUUGUUAAGUCAGUUGUGAAAGUUUGCGGCUCAACCGUAAAAUUGCAGUUGAAACUGGCAGUCUUGAGUACAGUAGAGGUGGGCGGAAUUCGUGGUGUAGCGGUGAAAUGCUUAGAUAUCACGAAGAACUCCGAUUGCGAAGGCAGCUCACUGGACUGCAACUGACACUGAUGCUCGAAAGUGUGGGUAGCAAACAGGAUUAGAUACCCUAGUAGUC
Molecule: ribosomal RNA, 460 nt
Filed under: uncultured bacterium
Lineage: Bacteria
Description: partial 16S ribosomal RNA
Rfam family: Bacterial small subunit ribosomal RNA
Source: RNAcentral